UACGUAGGGCGCAAGCGUUGUCCGGAAUUAUUGGGCGUAAAGAGCUCGUAGGCGGUCUGUUACGUCCGCUGUGAAAACCCGGGGCUUAACCCCUGGCUUGCAGUGGAUACGGACAGACUAGAGGUAGGUAGGGGAGAAUGGAAUUCCCGGUGUAGCGGUGAAAUGCGCAGAUAUCGGGAGGAACACCGGUGGCGAAGGCAGGUCUCUGGGCCAUAACUGACGCUGAGAAGCGAAAGCCAGGGGAGCAAACGGG
This 253-nucleotide ribosomal RNA is filed under the name uncultured bacterium. Its description in RNAcentral is "partial 16S ribosomal RNA". It matches the Rfam family "Bacterial small subunit ribosomal RNA", at positions 524 to 776 of the family's 1533-position model. The record is from RNAcentral.